UUCCAGGGUUGCAGAAAGAACCCUGGACUUAGAUUCAGAAGAUCUGAG
Molecule: microRNA precursor, 48 nt
Filed under: Octodon degus (degu)
Lineage: Eukaryota; Metazoa; Chordata; Mammalia; Rodentia; Octodontidae
Description: miRNA (ENSODEG00000022409.1)
Source: RNAcentral